Molecule: ribosomal RNA, 1556 nt
Filed under: metagenome
Description: bacterial LSU rRNA
Rfam family: Bacterial large subunit ribosomal RNA
Source: RNAcentral
CCUGCCCGCCGAAAGGAUAAGGUUUCCUGAUCAACGCUAAUCGGAUCAGGGUUAGUCGGGGCCAAAGGAGAACCCGAAAGGGAUAUUCGAUGGACAACGGAUUAAUAUUUCCGUACUUUUUAUAACUGCGAUGUGGGGACGGAGUAGUGACACUGCCGCGAUCUGACGGAAUAGAUCGUUGAAGGCUGUAGGUAUAGUACCGGUAGGCAAAUCCGCCGGUGUUGCUGAACGCUGAUAGUACCGCAAACCUUCGGGGGCGUGGAUAGUGCAGGUAAUCAGACUUCCAAGAAAAACCGCUAAGCUUCAGGUUAUAAAAACCCGUACCGCAAACCGACACAGGUAUCCGGGAAGAGAAUUCUAAGGCGCUCGAGUGAAUCAUGGCUAAGGAACUCGGCAAAAUGGCCCUGUAACUUCGGGAGAAGGGGCGCUGGUAGCAAUAUCAGCCGCAGUGAAAAGGCCCAGGCGACUGUUUAACAAAAACACAUGGCUUUGCAAAAUCGAAAGAUGAAGUAUAAGGCCUGACACCUGCCCGGUGCUGGAAGGUUAAGAGGGGAUGUUAGGGUUAAACCGAAGCAUUGAAUUGAAACCCCAGUAAACGGCGGCCGUAACAAUAACGGUCCUAAGGUAGCGAAAUUCCUUGUCGGGUAAGUUCCGACCUGCACGAAUGGUGUAACGAUCUGGGCGCUGUCUCAGCCAUGAGCUCGGUGAAAUUGUGGUCCCGGUGAAGACGCCGGGUACCCGCAACGGGACGGAAAGACCCCAUGCACCUUCACUACAAUUUAACAUUGACAUUGGAUACAGGAUGUGUAGGAUAGGUGGGAGACUAUGAAGCGGCAUCGCCAGGUGUUGUGGAGUCAACGUUGAAAUACCACCCUUUCUGUAUUCGGUGUCUAACCCGGCAAGUUCGGGGACAUUGUUUGAUGGGUAGUUUGACUGGGGUGGUCGCCUCCAAAAAGGUAACGGAGGCUUUCAAAUGUAAGCUCAAUACGCUUGGUAACCGUAUGAGGAGUGCAAUAGCAUAAGCUUGCUUGACUGUGAGGCAUACAAGCCGAGCAGGGUCGAAAGACGGAUAUAGUGAUCCGGUGGUUCUGCAUGGAAGGGCCAUCGCUCAAAGGAUAAAAGGUACGCUGGGAUAACAGGCUGAUCUCCCCCAAGAGCUCAUAUCGACGGGGAGGUUUGGCACCUCGAUGUCGGCUCGUCACAUCCUGGGGCUGGAGAAGGUCCCAAGGGUUCGGCUGUUCGCCGAUUAAAGUGGCACGCGAGCUGGGUUCAGAACGUCGCGAGACAGUUCGGUCCCUAUCUGUUGUGGGCGUAGGAAUUUUGAGUGGGGCUGACCUUAGUACGAGAGGACCGGGUUGGACUAGCCUCUAGUGAAUCUGUUGUUCCGCCAGGGGCAUUGCAGAGUAGCUACGCUGGGAAUAGAUAAGCGCUGAAAGCAUCUAAGUGCGAAACUAGCCACGAGAUGAGAAUUCCAUAUAGGACCGUAGCAGACUACUACGUUGAUAGGUUACAGAUGUAAAGGUUGUGAGAUCAAAGUCGAGUAAUACUAAUCAUUC